Molecule: ribosomal RNA, 348 nt
Filed under: uncultured Helicobacter sp.
Lineage: Bacteria; Pseudomonadati; Campylobacterota; Epsilonproteobacteria; Campylobacterales; Helicobacteraceae
Description: bacterial SSU rRNA
Rfam family: Bacterial small subunit ribosomal RNA
Source: RNAcentral
GACGGGUAUCCGGCCUGAGAGGGUGAUCGGACACACUGGAACUGAGACACGGUCCAGACUCCUACGGGAGGCAGCAGUAGGGAAUAUUGCUCAAUGGGGGAAACCCUGAAGCAGCAACGCCGCGUGGAGGAUGAAGGUUUUAGGAUUGUAAACUCCUUUUGUGAGAGAAGAUUAUGACGGUAUCUCACGAAUAAGCACCGGCUAACUCCGUGCCAGCAGCCGCGGUAAUACGGAGGGUGCAAGCGUUACUCGGAAUCACUGGGCGUAAAGAGUGCGCAGGCGGGGUGGUAAGUCAGAUGUGAAAUCCUGUAGCUUAACUACAGAACUGCAUUUGAAACUAUCACUCUA